Molecule: ribosomal RNA, 253 nt
Filed under: uncultured bacterium
Lineage: Bacteria
Description: partial 16S ribosomal RNA
Rfam family: Bacterial small subunit ribosomal RNA
Source: RNAcentral
UACGUAGGGGGCAAGCGUUGUCCGGAAUCAUUGGGCGUAAAGCGCGUGUAGGCGGCUCGAUAAGUCUGCUGUGAAAGUCCAAGGCUCAACCUUGGGAUGCCGGUGGAUACUGUCGAGCUCGAGUCCGGAAGAGGAGUGUGGAAUUCCUGGUGUAGCGGUGAAAUGCGCAGAUAUCAGGAGGAACACCUAUUGCGAAGGCAGCUCGCUGGGACGUAACUGACGCUGAGACGCGAAAGCGUGGGGAGCAAACAGG